Drosophila ananassae is the source of this 359-nucleotide long non-coding RNA. RefSeq lists it as uncharacterized. The transcript is spliced from 3 exons. Lineage: Eukaryota; Metazoa; Arthropoda; Insecta; Diptera; Drosophilidae. The record is from RefSeq and is a predicted model, not a curated record.
UUGAGGACCAAUAAUAAAAGCAUGGCUAUCCGAUUGCGAAAGAAAAUCGUUAUAUGAAGCCCCUUUUAGGCCAAAUAGGAAUAUGUGUCGAAGCGACGGAGAGGUCCCCGAGUUGGCCAUUUUCGAAUUGUGCAUGUAUUAGUGAUGGGGCGAAUGGCGGAGAACAGUACGACAUGGAUAUGAUGGAUAUUAGAAGCUCCAUUUACAGCGUAAUCAUUUUUGUAGAGGUAAUUUGGAGUACAGUAUGGAGAAUAUAUGAAAAUUGUUAUUGGCUGGUACUAAAAUACACCGUCUGAAAGACAGCCCAAUAUUUUUGAAAUUAAAUAAUGUGAUGAGGAGUACAGUACAUCCCAAAUAUA